RNAcentral lists this ribosomal RNA (460 nucleotides) under uncultured bacterium. RNAcentral describes it as "partial 16S ribosomal RNA". It matches the Rfam family "Bacterial small subunit ribosomal RNA", at positions 338 to 795 of the family's 1533-position model. The record is from RNAcentral.
CCUACGUGAGGCAGCAGUGAGGAAUAUUGGUCAAUGGGCGCGAGCCUGAACCAGCCAAGUAGCGUGAAGGAUGACUGCCCUACGGGUUGUAAACUUCUUUUAUAAAGGAAUAAAGUGAGGCACGUGUGCCUUUUUGUAUGUACUUUAUGAAUAAGGAUAGGCUAACUCCGUGCCAGCAGCCGCGGUAAUACGGAGGAACCGAGCGUUAUCCGGAUUUAUUGGGUGUAAAGGGAGCGUAGAUGGGUUGUUAAGUCAGUUGUGAAAGUUUGCGGCUCAACCGUAAAAUUGCAAUUGAUACUGGCAGUCUUGAGUACAGGUGAGGUAGGCGGAAUUCGUGGUGUAGCGGUGAAAUGCUUAGAUAUCACGAAGAACUCCGAUUGCGAAGGCAGCUUACUAAACUGCCACUGACAUUGAUGCUCGAAAGUGUGGGUAUCAAACAGGAUUAGAUACCCCAGUAGUC